Arabidopsis thaliana (thale cress) is the source of this 350-nucleotide long non-coding RNA. RefSeq annotates it as other RNA. The transcript has a single exon. The record is from RefSeq. NCBI's taxonomy places the organism in Eukaryota, Viridiplantae, Streptophyta, Magnoliopsida, Brassicales, Brassicaceae.
GAAAAAUGCUCAGUCUAGUGAAGGAACUAAAGACACAGAAUUCUGCCUAUUUUUACCGUGUUAUCUCGAUCAUAGCCAUUUUUGAGAAUUAAAAUGAGCAUGUGAUUAGAAUGGUAGGACUUAAGAGCAUGCAUAAUCUAAACUCGAAAAUUGUCAACGCAAGAAAGAUUGACAGAGAUGAGUACCAAGCCAGCAAAGUCUAUCUCAGAACCACUAGCUCAUCCCUUGAACUUGAUCAUGGAAGGCAAUCACAAGCUUUGGUGCUAUUAUAGUUUAUCACAGAAUGAAAUUUAAGGCUAUUCAUUAUUAAUGCAAGUGAAGCAUACCAGCUUCAAUAUUGAAGUCUAGUU